Molecule: ribosomal RNA, 701 nt
Filed under: uncultured Enterobacteriaceae bacterium
Lineage: Bacteria; Pseudomonadati; Pseudomonadota; Gammaproteobacteria; Enterobacterales; Enterobacteriaceae
Description: bacterial SSU rRNA
Rfam family: Bacterial small subunit ribosomal RNA
Source: RNAcentral
UGUAAACGAUGUCGAUUUGGAGUUUGUUGCCUAGAGUGAUGGGCUCCGAAGCUAACGCGAUAAAUCGACCGCCUGGGGAGUACGGCCGCAAGGUUAAAACUCAAAUGAAUUGACGGGGGCCCGCACAAGCGGUGGAGCAUGUGGUUUAAUUCGAUGCAACGCGAAGAACCUUACCUGGUCUUGACAUCCAUAGAAUUCUGCAGAGAUGUGGGAGUGCCUUCGGGAACUAUGAGACAGGUGCCGCAUGGCUGUCGUCAGCUCGUGUUGUGAAAUGUUGGGUUAAGUCCCGCAACGAGCGCAACCCUUAUUCUUUGUUGCCAGCGAUUUGGUCGGGAACUCAAAGGAGACUGCCGUUGAUAAAGCGGAGGAAGGUGGGGACGACGUCAAGUCAUCAUGGCCCUUACGACCAGGGCUACACACGUGCUACAAUGGCGUAUACAAAGGGAAGCGAAGGUGCGAGCUGGAGCGGAUCUCAUAAAGUACGUCUAAGUUCGGAUUGGAGUCUGCAACUCGACUCCAUGAAGUCGGAAUCGCUAGUAAUCGUAGAUCAGAAUGCUACGGUGAAUACGUUCCCGGGCCUUGUACACACCGCCCGUCACACCAUGGGAGUGGGUUGCACCAGAAGUAGAUAGCUUAACCGCGAGGGGGGCGUUUACCACGGUGUGAUUCAUGACUGGGGUGAAGUCGUAACAAGGUAACCA